RNAcentral lists this ribosomal RNA (301 nucleotides) under uncultured bacterium. RNAcentral describes it as "partial 16S ribosomal RNA". It matches the Rfam family "Bacterial small subunit ribosomal RNA", at positions 509 to 809 of the family's 1533-position model. The record is from RNAcentral.
CAGCCGCCGCGGUAAAACAGAGGGUGCAAGCGUUAAUCGGAAUUACUGGGCGUAAAGCGCGCGUAGGUGGUUUGUUAAGUUGGAUGUGAAAGCCCCGGGCUCAACCUGGGAACUGCAUCCAAAACUGGCAAGCUAGAGUACGGUAGAGGGUGGUGGAAUUUCCUGUGUAGCGGUGAAAUGCGUAGAUAUAGGAAGGAACACCAGUGGCGAAGGCGACCACCUGGACUGAUACUGACACUGAGGUGCGAAAGCGUGGGGAGCAAACAGGAUUAGAUACCCCUGUAGUCCCUGUCUCUUAUAA